RNA transcript from Quercus lobata, 1918 nucleotides. It is a transcript of the gene named rho GTPase-activating protein 5-like, with no coding region annotated. The record is from RefSeq and is a predicted model, not a curated record. Lineage: Eukaryota; Viridiplantae; Streptophyta; Magnoliopsida; Fagales; Fagaceae. The transcript has 5 exons.
UUUUUUUUUUUUCUUGUUUCUCAAAGCAAGAAAGCGAUUUUUUUUAUUAGUGGGUGUUUUUUAUAAUUCAAGAAAAAGGUUGUUUUCAUUGCCAACCAUGACUGAGGUCCUCAAUCCCAACCAUUCGCCAACCCAUUUCUCUUCUUCUUCUUCUUCUUCUCCUACAAGAGUUUCUUCCUCGUCUUCUUCCUCUUCUUUUUCUCCUUUAUCAUUUGCAAAGCAACCUCAGAAUGAGGACAACAAUAACAACAACAACAACAACAUUAACAACAACAACAACUACAGCCUUUGUGAAUGUGAGUCAUUCUCUUCGCAUGUAGCAGAGGACGGAGAUUCUAUAGUGUCGGUGUUUGAGGAAGAAGAAGAAGAGGAAGAGGAAGAAGAGUGUGAGAGUCAGACAAGAGAUCAGCUUUCUUUGUUGGCAUUGCUGGUGGCCCUUUUCAGAAAAUCGUUGAUUGCUUGCAAGAGUGAUAGAAGGGAGCUUUGUGCCAUGGAGAUCGGGUGGCCCACUAAUGUGCGCCAUGUGGCGCAUGUUACCUUUGAUAGGUUCAAUGGCUUCUUGGGUUUGCCUGUGGAGUUUGAACCUGAGGUACCCAGAAGGCCUCCCAGUGCAAGUACUACCGUCUUUGGAGUUUCCACAGAAUCCAUGCAAUUGUCGUAUGACUCUCGAGGGAAUAGCGUGCCAACAAUUCUCUUGCUAAUGCAAAAACACUUGUAUGCUCUCGGAGGCUUGCAGGCAGAAGGGGUUUUCAGAAUUGCUGCAGACAACAGUCAAGAGGAGUAUGUCAGGGACCAAUUGAACACAGGAGUGGUACCAGAAGGCAUUGAUGUUCAUUGUUUGGCAGGGCUUAUCAAGGCUUGGUUUAGGGAACUCCCAACUGGGGUUCUGGAUCCUUUAUCACCUGAGCAGGUAAUGCAAUGCCAGACAGAAGAGGAUUAUGUUGAACUUGUGAGGCGUCUACCCCCAACUGAAGGUGCUCUAUUGGAUUGGGCCAUCAACCUGAUGACUGAUGUUGUUCAACAGGAACAUCUGAACAAGAUGGAUGCACGCAACAUUGCUAUGGUUUUUGCACCAAACAUGACUCAGAUGGCAGAUCCUUUGACUGCCUUGAUGUAUGCAGUCCAAGUGAUGAACUUCCUCAAGACCCUAAUCUUAAAAACACUCCGAGAAAGAAAAGAUUCUGCAGUGAAGCUUUACUCUGCUUCCUGUUUAGAGCCUUCUGAUGAGAAUGGACACCAGAGCCCUUCCCAAACCUGCUUGGAAGAUACUGCCCUAGAAAAUGAAGAGCCAGAGCAAGCAUUUGUUGCUGAAGAACCUGUUCCAGAAAUUUUCUUUGACACUAAUGAAAACAAUGAUCUUGCUAGUGGAGAAGCAGGCAGUCCAUUGACAUCUUCUGAGAAACUAAAUUCUGAUGAGCAUGGUUCUUGUGGGACUCUGAUUGGAGUUGACACUUACAUUAGCAAAAUAGAGGCCAGUGAAGUUGAUGGUGAAAUAUCUGGAAUUCAAGGUACUACUGAAAAGAGCAGGACUGGUCAAUCAAGUAAUUCAAAUUUCAAAUGGGGGCCAACUAAAAAAUGUGUUCAGCAACCUCUAGUUCCAGAAACAGGGCCAGUUGACAAGACUAAGGGAAUCAGCAAUCUGAGUCGCAUAGAUUCAAGGAUAGAGCGGAUCGAAGCCUGGAGGUGAAGGAAAGCUCAAGAGCAGUUGGGCCUAAUUCAUUGUAUGAUACUGUAUUUUAAAUGUAAGUUUGUUUGAUUUGGAAGUUGAAGAAAAGUUUGUGAAUUGUUCGUGUAUAUUGUCUCUGCUGCUUGGUGAUUUGCUUAACCUGAUCUGAUUUCAUGGAUGACCCUUCUGUAGAAUCUUGCUAACAUUGUUACUGGAGUUCCAUUGAUGUGAUUUCCUGUGUUUGCUUUUCAA